AUUGAACGCUGGCGGAAUGCUUUACACAUGCAAGUCGAGCGGCAGCGCGGGGCAACCUGGCGGCGAGCGGCGAACGGGUGAGUAAUACAUCGGAACGUACCCAGUUGUGGGAGAUAGCCCGGCGAAAGCCGGAUUAAUACCGCAUACGACCUGAGGGUGAAAGGGGGGGAUCGCAAGACCUCUCGCAGUUGGAGCGGCCGAUGGCGGAUUAGCUAGUUGGUAGGGUAAAGGCCUACCAAGGCGACGAUCCGUAGCGGGUCUGAGAGGACGACCCGCCACACUGGAACUGAGACACGGUCCAGACUCCUACGGGAGGCAGCAGUGGGGAAUUUUGGACAAUGGGGGCAACCCUGAUCCAGCCAUCCCGCGUGAGUGAAGAAGGCCUUCGGGUUGUAAAGCUCUUUCGGCAGGAACGAAACGGUCUUUUCUAAUACAAGAGGCUAAUGACGGUACCUGAAGAAGAAGCACCGGCUAACUACGUGCCAGCCGCCGCCGUAA
This 498-nucleotide ribosomal RNA is filed under the name uncultured bacterium. RNAcentral describes it as "partial 16S ribosomal RNA". It matches the Rfam family "Bacterial small subunit ribosomal RNA", at positions 29 to 523 of the family's 1533-position model. The record is from RNAcentral.